UACGAAGGGGGCUAGCGUUGUUCGGAAUCACUGGGCGUAAAGGGCGUGUAGGCGGCUUUAUAAGUCGGGGGUGAAAGCCUGUGGCUCAACCACAGAAUUGCCUUCGAUACUGUAGAGCUUGAGACCGGAAGAGGUAAGUGGAACUGCGAGUGUAGAGGUGAAAUUCGUAGAUAUUCGCAAGAACACCAGUGGCGAAGGCGGCUUACUGGUCCGGUUCUGACGCUGAGGCGCGAAAGCGUGGGGAGCAAACAGG
This 253-nucleotide ribosomal RNA is filed under the name uncultured bacterium. Its description in RNAcentral is "partial 16S ribosomal RNA". It matches the Rfam family "Bacterial small subunit ribosomal RNA", at positions 524 to 776 of the family's 1533-position model. The record is from RNAcentral.